CUUGACACUGAACAUUGAGCCUUGAUGUGUAGGAUAGGUGGGAGGCUUUGAAGCGUGGACGCCAGUCUGCGUGGAGCCGACCUUGAAAUACCACCCUUUAAUGUUUGAUGUUCUAACGUUGGCCCCUGACCGGGGUUGCGGACAGUGUCUGGUGGGUAGUUUGACUGGGGCGGUCUCCUCCCAAAGCGUAUGGGACGUGCACGCCA
RNAcentral lists this ribosomal RNA (206 nucleotides) under Klebsiella pneumoniae. RNAcentral's name for it is "partial 23S ribosomal RNA". It matches the Rfam family "Bacterial large subunit ribosomal RNA", at positions 2110 to 2315 of the family's 2925-position model. The record is from RNAcentral. Lineage: Bacteria; Pseudomonadati; Pseudomonadota; Gammaproteobacteria; Enterobacterales; Enterobacteriaceae.